GAUGAACGCUGGCGGCGUGCCUAAUACAUGCAAGUCGAGCGAACGGACGAGAAGCUUGCUUCUCUGAUGAUAGCGGCGGACGGGUGAGUAACACGUGGAUAACUUACCUAUAAGACUGGGAUAACUUCGGGAAACCGGAGCUAAUACCGGAUAAUAUUUUGAACCGCAUGGUUCAAAAGUGAAAGACGGUCUUGCUGUCACUUAUAGAUGGAUCCGCGCUGCAUUAGCUAGUUGGUAAGGUAACGGCCUACCAAGGCAACGAUGCAUAGCCGACCUGAGAGGGUGAUCGGCCACACUGGAACUGAGACACGGUCCAGACUCCUACGGGAGGCAGCAGUAGGGAAUCUUCCGCAAUGGGCGAAAGCCUGACGGAGCAACGCCGCGUGAGUGAUGAAGGUCUUCGGAUCGUAAAACUCUGUUAUUAGGGAAGAACAUAUGUGUAAGUAACUGUGCACAUCUUGACGGUACCUAAUCAGAAAGCCACGGCUAACUACGUG
RNAcentral lists this ribosomal RNA (497 nucleotides) under uncultured bacterium. RNAcentral's name for it is "partial 16S ribosomal RNA". It matches the Rfam family "Bacterial small subunit ribosomal RNA", at positions 28 to 507 of the family's 1533-position model. The record is from RNAcentral.